This 372-nucleotide ribosomal RNA is filed under the name uncultured organism. RNAcentral describes it as "partial 16S ribosomal RNA". It matches the Rfam family "Bacterial small subunit ribosomal RNA", at positions 528 to 896 of the family's 1533-position model. The record is from RNAcentral.
GUAGGUGCAAGCGUUGUCCGGAAUUAUUGGGCGUAAAGCGCGCGCAGGCGGUUCUUUAAGUCUGAUGUGAAAGCCCACGGCUCAACCGUGGAGGGUCAUUGGAAACUGGAGAACUUGAGUACAGAAGAGGAAAGCGGAAUUCCACGUGUAGCGGUGAAAUGCGUAGAGAUGUGGAGGAACACCAGUGGCGAAGGCGGCUUUCUGGUCUGUAACUGACGCUGAGGCGCGAAAGCGUGGGGAGCAAACAGGGAUCAGAUACCCUGGUAGUCCACGCCGUAAACGAUGAGUGCUAAGUGUUAGGGGGUUUCCGCCCCCCUUAGUGCUGCAGCUAACGCAUUAAGCACUCCGCCUGGGAGUACGGCCGCAAGGCUG